UUUAAACCCGCCCGACCCACUUUUCUAACCCGCCCCGAUCCCAUUUCUUUAUACACCAGCGUUACUUAAUUUCCAAUCGUAACUCUUCCCCUUCAUCUUCUCUUUCCCUUAACACACUGCAAUUCACAUGUUUUCUCAACCACCUCCAACUAUUCACAUUUAAACCUCUCCUGUGUUCUUAGUUUGAACCCAUUUCUUGAAAAUACUGGGAGGGACCUUCGAAUCUUUGUUUUUUGUUUAAGUAAUUGGCAUUCUAGUAUAGAGUCAAGAUUCACCAGUUAUUUUGUACUAUGUGGGAUCUGGGUUUCUUUCUUUUCUUGACUAAAGAUAAUGCAGGUUGAGAGCAGUUCAUGAGUUCAUAAUUAGCUUCUUGAAUUUUUCUAUCUGAGGCUUCGUUUCAUCAUUUUCAUUUUGGGUUUGCUCUUUUAGAGGCCUGAAGGUGAAACAAUCAAUUUUGAGGCAACAACUCAGGUGCUUCAUAUGUACUAACAUUUGUAGAUUUGUUUUUCAAAUGUUCAGAUCCAUUGCCUUCUUAAUAUUUGCUUUCUUUAAUUUAUUAAAAGUACUUGCUUUAGGACAAUGUCUUUAAUUUGAAUAUUUCAAGAGGAGAUUAAUUUGUUCAAAAUUUGGUACGUUUGAUAUUUGUCAAUUACUUAUAGACGGCAACUAAUUCUUUGCUUUCAGUGACUUCAAGCUAAGAAAGACUUGUGUACAGAGAUAUACUACUAGUUUAUGUGAGUUGUACAUUCGGCAAAUUCUACUAGUAUAAACUUGUUUAAGUUGCUGACUUGUUCUUGUGGAUUUUUUUUUUUUGUUUAGUAAUAAAAUAUGCCUCAAGACAGUCUGAGAUCAGCUGUAUACCUUUGUGACAUGUGAUGACCCGAAAGGUGUUGUGGAAUGUAAGACAAUUAGAAAAUCCAAGUUGACCAUCCAAAGAUGGAAGGAAAACAAAGAACAUGCAGCCAUUUGAAUGUGUCUUCAUCGUCAUCGGUCUGCAAAGGAAUGGCGGAAGAUGAGUUAUAUUCCUCAUCUUCCAUCCAGCUAAUGGAGGUGUCCAGAGAAGCUCAAAAGCUGAACCAAGUGAUUGACUCAUGGUCUAAGGGUAUGACCUUUGAAAUGGGGUCGGGGCGGGUUAGAAAAGUGGGUCGGGCAGGUUUAAAAAAUAGAAUGGGUGGGCUAAUCUGGUCCAAUCUAAGACUGUCACGUGUUAAAAAAUAAUGUGCAAACAAGUUUUAACGGUGGAAGGGUAUAUGUGGCCCUAAUGUUUAACGGUGGGGAUAUAUUUGUUAAAGAAUUCAAACGGAGGAUAAAUAUGGCCUAUUUUGAAUAGUACAAGAAUAUAUUUGACCCUUAACCGUUUAUAAAAUAGGAAAAUUUUAUUGUGUCUCAUACAAUUGACACUAGUUAUAUUAAGCAACUUUUUUAUCUCGCAGUUUUGUGGACCCAGAUUUUUGUGAACCCAGAAGUGUAAGAUUGGAGUCCACAAAUUUGUGGGACAAAAAUGAGUCUCAUACAACUAGUGCAGUUGCUAGAUAUAUGAGACACAAAAUAAAACUUCUCGAGAAAAUAGCACGGACUAGUCAGUUUUCGGAUUGAUAAAUGAAAGAUAGUCAGCCUUUGCAAAGUCAAUGAAAAAUAGUCAUUAUUUUACCGUAAUACGAAAAGUUCCGGCAUAAUAUACUAUAGAUUGGUGCACUUGUGUAUGAACUUCCAGCAUGAUUGAAAAUUUACACGUAAAAAAUUCAAACUCCAAAAUAUUAUGCUGAAAUAUUUUCUGGAUUUUGAACAAUAUUUUCGUUCAAAUUUAUAUUUACGUGACAAAUG
Molecule: long non-coding RNA, 1824 nt
Filed under: Nicotiana benthamiana
Lineage: Eukaryota; Viridiplantae; Streptophyta; Magnoliopsida; Solanales; Solanaceae
Description: long non-coding RNA (NBEN_LNC030837)
Source: RNAcentral